This 1467-nucleotide long non-coding RNA is filed under the name Oncorhynchus mykiss (rainbow trout). Its description in RNAcentral is "lncRNA (ENSOMYG00000066399.1)". Lineage: Eukaryota; Metazoa; Chordata; Actinopteri; Salmoniformes; Salmonidae. The record is from RNAcentral.
AGCAUCUCUACCUACAGACCGAUACAGCAUCUCUACCUACAGACCGAUACAGCAUCUCUACCUACAGACCUAUACAGCAUCUCUACCUACAGACCUAUACAGCAUCUCUACAUACAGACCUGUACAGCAUCUCUACCUACAGACCUAUACAGCAUCUCUACCUACAGACCUAUACAACAUCUCUACCUACAGACCUAUACAGCAUCUCUACCUACAGAACUAUACAGUAUCUCUACCUACAGACCUGUACAGCAUCUCUGCCUACAUACAUAUACAGCAUCUCUACCUACAAAUCUGUACAGCAUCUCUGCCUACAGACCUGUACAGCAUCUCUGCCUACAGAACUAUACAGCAUCUCUACCUACAGACCUGUACCGCAUCUCUGCCUACAGACCUAUACAGCAUCUCUAUCUACAUAACUAUACAGCAUCUCUACCUACAGACCGAUACAGCAUCUCUACCUACAGACAGAUACAGCAUCUCUACCUGCAGACCAAUACAGCAUCUCUACCUACAGACCUAUACAGCAUCUCUACCUAUAGACCGAUACAGCGUCUCUGCCUACAGACCUAUACAGCAUCUCUACCUACAGACCUAUACAGCAUCUCUACCUACAGACCUAUACAGCAUCUUUAUCUACAGGCCUAUACAGCAUCUCUACCUACAUACCUAUACAGCAUCUCUACCUAUAGACCUAUAAAGCAUCUCUACCUACACAACUAUACAGCAUCUCUACCUACAGACAGAUACAGCAUCUAUACCUACAGACCUAUACAGCAUCUCUACCUAUAUACCUAUACAGCAUCUCUACCUACAGACCUAUACAGCAUCUCUACCUAUAGACCUAUACAGCAUCUCUACCUACAGACCGAUACAGCGUCUCUACCUACAGACCUAUACAGCAUCUCUACCUACACAACAAUACAGCAUCUCUACCUACAGACAGAUACAGCAUCUAUACCUACAGACCUAUACAGCAUCUCUACCUAUAGACCUAUACAGCAUCUCAACCUACAGACCUAUACAGCAUCUCUACCUAUAGACCUAUACAGCUUCUCUACCUACAGACCUAUACAGCAUCUCUACCUACAGACCGAUACAGCAUCUCUACCUACAGACCUAUACAGCAUCUCUACCUACAGACCUAUACAGCAUCUCUACUUACAGACCUAUUCAGCAUCUCUACUUACAGACCUAUACAGCAUCUCUACCUACAGACCUAUACAGCAUCUCUACCUACAGAACUAUACAGCAUCUCUACCUACAGAACUAUACAGCAUCUCUACCUACAGACCUAUACAGCAUCUCUACUUACAGACCUAUACAGCAUCUCUACCUACAGACCUAUACAGCAUCUUUACCUACAGACAGAUAGAGCAUCUCUACCUACAGACCUAUACAGCAUCUCUACCUAUAGACCUGUACAGCAUCUCUACCUACAGACCUAUACAGCAUCUCUACCUAUAG